Carassius gibelio (silver crucian carp) is the source of this 978-nucleotide long non-coding RNA. RefSeq lists it as uncharacterized. The record is from RefSeq and is a predicted model, not a curated record. The transcript is spliced from 3 exons. Lineage: Eukaryota; Metazoa; Chordata; Actinopteri; Cypriniformes; Cyprinidae.
AGAUGUUAAAAGCAAGAGACAUGGGAGAGCGUUAUUCCUUUGAGAUUUUAUAACUCAAACCAACUUUGGAGUUGUCUGAUUUGGAGAGUCAUUAUUCUUGGUCUUCGUUCUUAAAGGCCACUGAUGAAGAACAGGCGGUGACUGGGAUGAAUGCUGGUCAGAGAGGAGAAUCUUCUUUCCCCUAAACAGCGGUGGUUUUAAAGGAGGACGCUGCCCUGGAUGAUGUAGAAGAUGUCACAUGCUGUGCUGAUGGGGUUUCUUCAUGAUUACAUCAGUUAUGCUAAAGAGAUCAUGAAAAUUGACUGUGAUGCAUGAUCUGUAUUCAUGGACUAUGAAACAAACUGUAAGUGUAUAAUUUGUUAAAAAAAAAAGUUAAAUGCUUUUUCUGUGUUUAGUAGAAGAGUUUACACUCUGUCAUUCAUACACCUGUCACAUUCUUUCACACACACACACACAUGCGUCUGUUGAAUGUUAUAAUAUCAAAGUUAAUGUUGUGAUUUAUUUGUGUACUGUCAUGCCAGAAUAGUUGGAAAAAAACCUAACUAAUUGUAAAUUUAUUGUAUGUGUUUUCGUAUAUUUUUAUACAAUGUAUAAAAUUGAACAAAGUCCAAUUUGAUCUUAAGUUAUAUUCAUCAAAUGUUCAAUGCUUUGUUUAUGAACUCUGUAGCUGUUAAUGCCAUCCUUUUCUGCAUUUCUUCUAACAUGUUACUUUUUGACUUUUCUCUUGUUUUUAAUAAAUAUUUUCCUCUUGAUAAUUAUUAUUUGUGUGUAAAAGUGAUAUUUAAAAUGAACAACAUUUGUAGGUUUAAUGCCUAGCUCAAUUUGGGUUAAUUUUAACGUAGAAAUGCAUUGUUUCCCCACAUGGCUGCACUCUGCGAGUUUAUUUUCUGCCAGCAGGAGGCGCUAAGAGCGGGAGAGGUAGGUUUCUCCGGUAACGGCUGCAGAGCGGUACUGAGCUCACAAACGCUGCCUUAUCAA